GCCUGAGCGGUGGCGCGUGCUUGUAGUCCUGGCUACUUAGGAGGCUGAGGCAGGAGGAUCGCUUGAGCCCAGGAGUGCUGGGCUGUAGUGCGCUAUGCCGACCGGGUGUCCGCACUAAGUUUGGCAUCAAUAUGAUGACCUCCCGGGAGCAGGGACCACCAGGUUGCCUAAGGAGGGGUGAACCGGCCCAGGUCAGAAAUGUAGCAGGUCAAAACUCCCGUGCUGAUCAAAGACCCCAAUUGCCAACAGAAGCUCCCUAGCAAAUAUUUAAGAGGUGGGGUGAUGUUCAGCA
RNAcentral lists this signal recognition particle RNA (292 nucleotides) under Panthera tigris altaica (Amur tiger). RNAcentral describes it as "Metazoan signal recognition particle RNA (ENSPTIG00000003595.1)". It matches the Rfam family "Metazoan signal recognition particle RNA". From Rfam's summary of the family: The signal recognition particle (SRP) is a universally conserved ribonucleoprotein. It is involved in the co-translational targeting of proteins to membranes. Lineage: Eukaryota; Metazoa; Chordata; Mammalia; Carnivora; Felidae. The record is from RNAcentral.